This 567-nucleotide unclassified non-coding RNA is filed under the name Hevea brasiliensis (rubber tree). The record is from RNAcentral. Lineage: Eukaryota; Viridiplantae; Streptophyta; Magnoliopsida; Malpighiales; Euphorbiaceae.
GUCCAAAUAUGAAUAGGUCGGAUCCUAUUUCUGUUAGUUCUGGUAAAAACUGUGAGAGAUGCAACAACUGUGAUCUUAAGGAAAUGGAGAUGGAAAGCUUGGAGGAUUAUACUUACGUCACAAGCCAUGGACCUGAUAAGUCCUCGACUAAGGUGUAUUAUGAUAAUGGAAAAAAAGGGCACGAUAGAAUUGGUGUUGUUUCUAUGGAUAGAGAAUCGCCGGCGAGAUUUGUCGAUGAAGCUGCGUUGUAUCCCACCUCAGAUUUUCUCAGUUCAUGUCACUUGUGCAGGAAAAGGCUCCAUGGGAAAGACAUAUACAUGUACAGAGGAGAGAAAGCAUUCUGUAGCAUGGAGUGUCGAUCAAGACAAAUAAUGAUAGACGAGCGCAAGGAACAGUGCAGAUCAAAGGUUUCAAGAUCUGCAGAUGUUUCAAGCUCCUCUUACACAAGAAGCCCUAUCUUCUCAACUGGAAUUCUUGCCAUUUAGACCUGAUAUAUAAAACAUAUCUUCAUCACCCACUGCCUAUAUCUCCAAGAAAAUUAUAUAGAUUUAUAAUUUUGAAAGGGAA